UACAUGAGGAGGUAAGUAGACAAAAUAAGGAUUGGUAGGAGGCCCAUUGACCCUAUUUUGCAUCAUGUUUUUAAAAAUAUUUCAAGACAAAACCUAAGCAUAUCGAUUUUGGCGACGUCAUUGUUGGUGCUCUGAUCAAAUCCCCCUUGGCCUCUUUAUCUCUGAUGUUGUCUCCCACUUGGAUAUUUAUAUCACUAUGAACCCCACACUAUCUCUCUUUCUCUGAUAAAAUACCCCUUGGACAUGGGUUCUCUCUUGCUGUGUAUCUUUCACAAGGUUUGGGUGCCCUACGUCCUCCAACUACAAGCUAUGAAUGGGUGCGGGCUUCCCCUUCAAUACCAAUGUCUGAGAAAAUAUCCCUUGGUUGCGAGUUCUCUCUUCCUCUGUCUCUGUAUCAGGCCGGUUUGGGCACUCUACAUGGUCCUACAACUACAAGCUACUAUGAUUAUUGGGCGCGGGCGAGGGCAGGGGGGUUUAUUGUUUUGUGCAAUUUGAAUUUUUAUGUUUUUAAUUUUUUUAUUAUGUUAUAAUAUAUAUAUAUAACAGUCGACUCAGUAAUUAAAACAAAUAAUUGUGAUGGUCCAUGUGGAUGCUGACACAAUGUGAUUUAUGCCCACUGCUAUGAAUGUUAAAGUGAAUAAAUUCAACCAAGCAAAGGUAAACGACGGGAGUAACUAUGACUCUAUUAAGGUAUCCAAAUUCCUCUCCAUCUAAUUGGUGAUGCACAUGAAUGGAUUAACUAGAUUGCCACUAUCCCUAUCUACUAUCUAGCGAAACCACAACCAAGGGAAUGGGCUUGGCAUAAUCAACAGGGAAAGAAGACAUUGUUGAGAUUGACUGUAGUCUGACUUUGUGAAAUGAAUUGAGAGUUGUAGAAUAAGUGGGAAUCAUUUUUGGCACAAAUUAAAUAGCACUACUUUUAACAUUAUUUUACUUAUAAUUUUGAGGGGCAGAGACAGGGAAGUUACCCUAUUUUUGGCCUUAAGUCAUGUUUCAAUGGGUCGAUCUGGGUGGAAGACAUUUCCAGGUGGGGAUUUUGGAUGGGGAAACACAUAUAUUAAAAUAUAGCAUAAAAUAUAAUUGGUGUAGAUAGAUCAUUUUUAUUUGGUAGAUCCUAGUGCACAACCACCCUUAUUACCUUUCCCUCCUAAUUUGUAGUUACACCCAAUCAUUUAUAAAUUGAAUAUAGUUUCCUCACUUGCACAAUAUGGAUAUAUUUGUGAACCCUAUAUAUUAUUAAAUAUUUAAAAACCCCUAUCCAUGAUCCUAUGGUUAAAUACAAAUGAAAAAAAAAAACGUGGAUACAAAAAUGCCACCCAUUCCUCUUCAAGGUCCUCCC
Molecule: non-coding RNA, 1339 nt
Organism: Picea glauca (white spruce)
Lineage: Eukaryota; Viridiplantae; Streptophyta; Pinopsida; Pinales; Pinaceae
Source: Rfam